GCCUCCCCCGCCGCGCGGGGCCGGCGGGGGGGGGGCACGGGGGGCCUACGGGAGGCAGCAGUGAGGAAUUUUGCGCAAUGGGGGCAACCCUGACGCAGCAACGCCGCGUGAGUGAAG
This 117-nucleotide ribosomal RNA is filed under the name uncultured bacterium. RNAcentral describes it as "partial 16S ribosomal RNA". The record is from RNAcentral.